ACGGGAAAUGCGCCGGCCUUACCAUGCAAGUCGAGCGGGGAAGGGUAGCUUGCUACCUGACCUAGCGGCGGACGGGUGAGUAAUGCUUAGGAAUCUGCCUAUUAGUGGGGGACAACAUUCCGAAAGGAAUGCUAAUACCGCAUACGCCCUACGGGGGAAAGCAGGGGAUCUUCGGACCUUGCGCUAAUAGAUGAGCCUAAGUCAGAUUAGCUAGUUGGUGGGGUAAAGGCCUACCAAGGCGACGAUCUGUAGCGGGUCUGAGAGGAUGAUCCGCCACACUGGGACUGAGACACGGCCCAGACUCCUACGGGAGGCAGCAGUGGGGAAUAUUGGACAAUGGGCGAAAGCCUGAUCCAGCCAUGCCGCGUGUGUGAAGAAGGCCUUUUGGUUGUAAAGCACUUUAAGCGAGGAGGAGGCUACUUGGAUUAAUACUCUAGGAUAGUGGACGUUACUCGCAGAAUAAGCACCGGCUAACUCUGUGCCAGCAGCCGCGGUAAUACAGAGGGUGCGAGCGUUAAUCGGAUUUACUGGGCGUAAAGCGUGCGUAGGCGGCUUUUUAAGUCGGAUGUGAAAUCCCUGAGCUUAACUUAGGAAUUGCAUUCGAUACUGGGAAGCUAGAGUAUGGGAGAGGAUGGUAGAAUUCCAGGUGUAGCGGUGAAAUGCGUAGAGAUCUGGAGGAAUACCGAUGGCGAAGGCAGCCAUCUGGCCUAAUACUGACGCUGAGGUACGAAAGCAUGGGGAGCAAACAGGAUUAGAUACCCUGGUAGUCCAUGCCGUAAACGAUGUCUACUAGCCGUUGGGGGCCUUUGAGGCUUUAGUGGCGCAGCUAACGCGAUAAGUAGACCGCCUGGGGAGUACGGUCGCAAGACUAAAACUCAAAUGAAUUGACGGGGGCCCGCACAAGCCGGUGGAGCAUGUGGUUUAAUUCGAUGCAACGCGAAGAACCUUUACCUGGUCUUG
RNAcentral lists this ribosomal RNA (960 nucleotides) under Acinetobacter sp. NB4. Its description in RNAcentral is "bacterial SSU rRNA". It matches the Rfam family "Bacterial small subunit ribosomal RNA", at positions 33 to 983 of the family's 1533-position model. Lineage: Bacteria; Pseudomonadati; Pseudomonadota; Gammaproteobacteria; Moraxellales; Moraxellaceae. The record is from RNAcentral.